Molecule: non-coding RNA, 680 nt
Organism: Arachis ipaensis
Lineage: Eukaryota; Viridiplantae; Streptophyta; Magnoliopsida; Fabales; Fabaceae
Source: RefSeq, a predicted model, not a curated record
GAUUUAUUAUACAUUUGUAAAUCUGUUUUGGCAUGGAUGAAUUAAGAUUUUUUUUAUAUUUGAUGGAAACCUUGUAUUGCCUUUGAUUUUCUGUAUUUAGGUGUGGCUUUAAAUUGUGUAGUUUUUAUUGCUUGGCUCUGUUUUAAUUUCUAGGGUUUGAAGCCUUAUUCAAAUUGAAUAUAUAUUUGAUGAAGGAAAAAAAGUCUCUGCAUCUUGCAUUCCUUACGUCAAAGCCUUCUUGUUGAUACUGCUAUGACUCAGCAUGGUAUGGGUGAUGAAGCUACUAUAAAGAAAAUAAUUUCUAAAGUGGAUACAGAUAAUGAUGGAAGAAUAAACUGUGAGAAAUUUUGUGCAAUGUUGAGAAGUGGAACCCCACACCCCGAACAACUACACUAAAUCUCUUGAAUUUAGUCAAUUUCACAUCAUUGAUCUGUAUUUGUUGAAGUAUUGUUUGGCACGAAUUUAAAUUCGAGCUGUUAUAUGUUAUUGUACUGAUGCCGGAAUUUUCAUGUUAAAGUAUCAGCUAUGAUAUCCUAUGAGGAUUUAUCAUUCUGUAUGUUGGUUGAGGAAAGAGCAGCCAAUGAGGCAAGGCAAGUUUGGUUUGCUGAAUCUAUAAUGAAGUACAAGCUUAAAUAUAGUUGUUCAAUUUGAAAUCCUUUCCUGUAUAUUCUUUCUGGUCA